RNAcentral lists this ribosomal RNA (484 nucleotides) under uncultured bacterium. Its description in RNAcentral is "partial 16S ribosomal RNA". It matches the Rfam family "Bacterial small subunit ribosomal RNA", at positions 30 to 507 of the family's 1533-position model. The record is from RNAcentral.
AUUGAACGCUGGCGGAAUGCUUUACACAUGCAAGUCGAACGGCAGCACGGUGGCAGCCCUGGUGGCGCGUGGCGAACGGGUGUGUAAUACAUCGGAACGUGCCCGGUCGUGGGGGAUAACGUAGCGAAAGUUACGCUACUACCGCAUACGAUCUGAGGCUGAAACCGGGGGACCUUCGGGCCUCGCGCGAUCGGAGCGGCCGAUGUCAGAUUAGGUAGUUGGUGGGGUAAAGGCCUACCAAGCCGGCGAUCUGUAGCUGGUCUGAGAGGACGACCAGCCACACUGGGAGUGAGACACGGCCCAGACUCCUACGGGAGGCAGCAGUGGGGAAUGUUGGACAAUGGGCGCAAGCCUGGUCCAGCCAUUCCGCGUGGAGGACGAAGGCCUUCGGGUUGUAAACUGCUUUUGUACGGAACGAAAAGGAUCUGGCUAAUACCUGGGGUUCAUGACGGUACCGUAAGAAUAAGCACCGGCUAACUACGUG